RNAcentral lists this ribosomal RNA (253 nucleotides) under uncultured bacterium. RNAcentral's name for it is "partial 16S ribosomal RNA". It matches the Rfam family "Bacterial small subunit ribosomal RNA", at positions 524 to 776 of the family's 1533-position model. The record is from RNAcentral.
UACAGAGGUCUCAAGCGUUGUUCGGAUUCAUUGGGCGUAAAGGGUGCGUAGGUGGCGGGGUAAGUCGGAUGUGAAAUCCCGGGGCUCAACCUCGGAACUGCAUUCGAUACUGCUUUGCUUGAGUACUGGAGAGGAGAUUGGAAUUUACGGUGUAGCAGUGAAACGCGUAGAUAUCGUAAGGAAGACCAGUGGCGAAGGCGGAUCUCUGGACAGUUACUGACACUGAGGCACGAAGGCCAGGGGAGCAAACGGG